This 725-nucleotide ribosomal RNA is filed under the name Eremarionta sp. Travertine Point. Its description in RNAcentral is "partial 16S ribosomal RNA". The stretch from base 243 to 486 matches the Rfam family "Archaeal large subunit ribosomal RNA", at positions 1786 to 2143 of the family's 2987-position model. The record is from RNAcentral. Lineage: Eukaryota; Metazoa; Mollusca; Gastropoda; Stylommatophora; Helminthoglyptidae.
UAGGGGUGAAAGGCCUGUCAAAAUAUUUGAUAACUUGAUUGAAAAGAAAUAUUUUAAGAAUAAUAGACAAUUAAUUAAUGCUAAGGUUGAUUAAUAAAACAAAUGUUGUUUUUUUAACUUUUACAUCGUUUAGUUACUUGUAAAAUCGUUGAAUUAAUAUAUAAAGCAAUACAUAUUGUUACACCUAUUUUCAAACUUUGAUAAAUUUUUGUUAGAUUUUAAUAUGUUGUUAUUAGUAGCCUUUUAGUUUUAAAUAAGGAACUCGGCAAGUAGUCUGGUCAACUGUUUAACAAAAACAUAGCCACAUUGUAUUAUAUAUGUGGUAAUUUCUGCUCAAUGAAUGUGUUAAAUAGCCGCAGUACCCUGACUGUGCAAAGGUAGCAUAAUCAUUUGGCUCAUAAUUGGAGUCUAGUAUGAAUGAAUUUAUGGCUAGAAACUGUCUCAUUUAAAGUUUAUUGAACUUACUAAGUGAGUGCAAAUACUCACAUUAUUACGAAAGACGAGAAGACCCUAGAAAUUUUUAAUUAAUUUAUUUUAUUAAUUUAAUAAAGCGUUUUUGUUGGGGCGACAUAAUAACAUAUAACUUAUUAUAAAUAUAAGAACUUUGUAUUGAGUAAAUUAAAAUUACUCUAGGGAUAACAGCAUAAUUUACAAAAGUUUGUGACCUCGAUGUUGGAUUAGGGACUGUAUUAUUCAAAAGAAAAUACGAUUUGUUCUGUUCGAAC